Molecule: transfer RNA, 76 nt
Filed under: bacterium
Lineage: Bacteria
Also listed under: 1 other name
Description: tRNA-His
Rfam family: tRNA
About the family: Transfer RNA (tRNA) molecules are approximately 80 nucleotides in length. Their secondary structure includes four short double-helical elements and three loops (D, anti-codon, and T loops). Further hydrogen bonds mediate the characteristic L-shaped molecular structure. tRNAs have two regions of fundamental functional importance: the anti-codon, which is responsible for specific mRNA codon recognition, and the 3' end, to which the tRNAs corresponding amino acid is attached (by aminoacyl-tRNA synthetases). tRNAs cope with the degeneracy of the genetic code in two manners: having more than one tRNA (with a specific anti-codon) for a particular amino acid; and 'wobble' base-pairing, i.e. permitting non-standard base-pairing at the 3rd anti-codon position.
Source: RNAcentral
GUGAAUGUAGCUCAGCUGGUAGAGCACCAGAUUGUGGCUCUGGGGGUCGCGGGUUCGAGUCCCGUCAUUCACCCCA